This 6455-nucleotide small RNA is filed under the name Pan troglodytes (chimpanzee). RNAcentral's name for it is "retained intron". The record is from RNAcentral. Lineage: Eukaryota; Metazoa; Chordata; Mammalia; Primates; Hominidae.
GACUACCGGCGGCGACGACCACGGGAGCAUGGCGGACACCGACCUGUUCAUGGAAUGUGAGGAGGAGGAGUUGGAGCCAUGGCAGAAAAUCAGUGAUGUCAUUGAGGACUCUGUAGUUGAAGAUUAUAAUUCAGUGGAUAAAACUACCACAGCUGGCAAUCCUUUGGUCCAGCAAGGUGGACAGCCACUCAUCCUGACCCAGAAUCCAGCCCCAGGUCUGGGCACAAUGGUUACUCAACCAGUAUUGAGGCCUGUUCAGGUCAUGCAGAAUGCCAAUCAUGUGACUAGUUCCCCUGUGGCCUCACAACCAAUAUUUAUCACUACGCAGGGAUUUCCUGUAAGGAAUGUCCGGCCUGUACAAAAUGCAAUGAAUCAGGUUGGGAUUGUGCUGAACGUACAGCAAGGCCAAACGGUUAGACCAAUUACACUAGUUCCAGCCCCAGGUACCCAGUUUGUUAAGCCGACAGUUGGAGUUCCACAAGUGUUCUCCCAGAUGACCCCUGUGAGGCCAGGCUCCACAAUGCCUGUGAGGCCCACCACCAACACCUUCACCACCGUCAUCCCGGCCACUCUUACCAUUCGAAGCACCGUCCCACAGUCCCAGUCCCAGCAGACCAAGUCCACUCCCAGCACUUCCACCACUCCCACUGCCACACAGCCAACCUCACUGGGGCAACUAGCUGUUCAGUCUCCAGGCCAGUCAAACCAGACCACGAAUCCCAAGCUAGCUCCCUCCUUCCCCUCUCCACCUGCAGUGAGCAUUGCCAGCUUUGUCACUGUGAAGCGACCUGGUGUUACAGGCGAAAAUAGCAAUGAAGUGGCCAAAUUGGUGAAUACCCUUAACACCAUCCCUUCCCUGGGCCAGAGUCCUGGGCCAGUGGUGGUGUCCAACAACAGCUCUGCUCAUGGCUCUCAAAGAACCAGCGGACCUGAGUCUUCAAUGAAAGUGACCUCUUCCAUCCCAGUAUUUGACCUCCAGGAUGGUGGACGGAAAAUAUGUCCACGAUGUAAUGCUCAAUUUCGUGUUACUGAAGCUUUGAGAGGUCACAUGUGUUACUGUUGCCCAGAAAUGGUUGAAUACCAGAAGAAAGGAAAGUCCCUGGAUUCAGAACCCAGUGUCCCAUCAGCAGCAAAGCCCCCGUCCCCUGAGAAAACAGCUCCUGUUGCUUCCACACCCUCUUCUACACCUAUUCCUGCUCUGUCACCGCCUACCAAAGUACCAGAACCAAAUGAGAACGUGGGCGAUGCCGUCCAGACCAAACUCAUUAUGCUUGUAGAUGACUUCUACUAUGGACGGGAUGGUGGCAAAGUAGCCCAGCUCACAAAUUUCCCUAAGGUCGCCACAUCUUUCCGAUGCCCACAUUGUACCAAAAGGCUAAAAAACAAUAUUCGAUUCAUGAACCAUAUGAAACACCACGUAGAACUCGAUCAGCAGAACGGUGAGGUAGAUGGUCACACUAUCUGCCAGCACUGUUACCGCCAGUUUUCCACUCCCUUCCAGCUUCAGUGCCACUUGGAAAAUGUUCAUAGUCCCUAUGAAUCUACUACCAAGUGCAAGAUCUGUGAAUGGGCGUUUGAAAGUGAGCCACUAUUUCUCCAGCAUAUGAAGGAUACUCAUAAGCCUGGAGAGAUGCCUUAUGUUUGCCAGGUGUGUCAAUAUCGCUCCUCACUCUACUCUGAGGUAGAUGUCCAUUUUCGGAUGAUCCAUGAGGAUACCCGGCAUCUGCUCUGCCCUUAUUGCCUGAAGGUCUUCAAAAAUGGCAAUGCAUUCCAACAGCAUUACAUGAGGCACCAGAAGAGAAAUGUUUAUCACUGCAACAAAUGCCGGCUGCAGUUUCUCUUUGCCAAGGACAAAAUUGAACACAAGCUUCAACACCAUAAAACCUUCCGUAAACCCAAGCAGCUGGAGGGCUUGAAACCAGGCACCAAGGUGACAAUCCGGGCUUCCCGAGGGCAGCCACGAACUGUUCCUGUAUCCUCUAAUGAUACACCUCCCAGCGCCUUGCAGGAGGCAGCACCGCUGACCUCCUCAAUGGACCCUCUGCCUGUCUUCCUUUAUCCCCCUGUCCAGCGCAGCAUCCAGAAGAGAGCUGUUAGGAAAAUGAGUGUCAUGGGCCGGCAGACAUGCCUGGAGUGCAGCUUCGAGAUCCCAGACUUCCCUAAUCAUUUCCCUACUUACGUACACUGCUCUCUGUGUCGCUAUAGCACCUGCUGUUCUCGAGCUUAUGCCAACCACAUGAUCAACAAUCAUGUUCCACGGAAGAGCCCCAAGUAUUUGGCUUUGUUUAAAAAUUCUGUGAGUGGAAUCAAGCUGGCCUGCACUUCAUGUACCUUUGUUACCUCUGUGGGCGAUGCUAUGGCCAAGCAUUUGGUAUUCAACCCCUCUCACAGAUCCAGCAGCAUCCUGCCACGGGGUAAGUAGGAGAGAAGGGGAUUAGUUGAGCAAGGGGAGGAAAAAAGAUACAGGUUCGUACUGUAUGCAUCAGGAGCAUACCUACCUGGCCUCACUCAUUCACUGUUGAGAUGUGCUGGACCUAAUUAGAAACCUUUCGACCUGAAGUUUAUAUAAAACUGGGAAAGCUGGUCACUGCGAACAGCGUAUUUGUAUGUAGUAAGUUGAAUCCCAGGGCACUGUCUUUGGAGGGCUUAUUUUUUCACUGAGCUAACUAUUUUUGUUGUUUCAUUUUCCAUAGGACUCACUUGGAUAGCUCACUCAAGGCAUGGCCAGACUCGUGACCGAGUGCAUGACCGGAACGUGAAGAAUAUGUACCCUCCUCCUUCCUUCCCCACUAACAAAGCUGCCACUGUGAAAUCUGCGGGGGCCACCCCAGCUGAGCCUGAAGAGCUACUAACUCCCUUAGCCCCAGCACUCCCAUCACCAGCCUCAACUGCAACCCCACCACCAACCCCCACUCACCCGCAGGCUUUAGCCCUUCCACCGCUGGCUACAGAGGGAGCCGAAUGUCUGAAUGUUGAUGAUCAGGAUGAAGGGAGCCCAGUCACCCAAGAACCUGAGCUAGCAUCAGGUGGUGGUGGUAGUGGUGGGGUUGGCAAAAAGGAGCAGCUGUCUGUGAAGAAGCUUCGAGUAGUACUGUUUGCUCUAUGCUGCAAUACAGAACAGGCAGCUGAACACUUCCGAAAUCCCCAGCGACGUAUUCGCCGUUGGCUUCGACGUUUCCAGGCCUCCCAGGGGGAGAAUCUAGAGGGCAAAUAUCUGAGCUUUGAGGCAGAAGAGAAACUGGCUGAGUGGGUGCUAACCCAGCGCGAACAACAGCUACCUGUAAAUGAGGAGACCUUGUUCCAGAAGGCCACCAAAAUAGGACGUUCUUUGGAAGGGGGGUUUAAGAUCUCCUAUGAGUGGGCUGUGCGUUUCAUGCUGCGGCACCACCUGACUCCCCAUGCCCGGCGAGCUGUGGCCCACACCCUACCUAAGGAUGUAGCAGAGAAUGCAGGACUCUUCAUUGAUUUUGUACAACGGCAGAUUCACAACCAGGACUUACCCUUGUCUAUGAUUGUGGCUAUUGAUGAGAUCUCUUUGUUCCUGGAUACAGAGGUGCUGAGCAGUGAUGAUCGAAAGGAGAAUGCCCUGCAGACAGUGGGCACAGGGGAACCUUGGUGUGAUGUAGUCCUAGCCAUUCUGGCAGAUGGCACUGUCCUUCCCACCCUGGUUUUCUACAGAGGGCAGAUGGAUCAGCCUGCUAACAUGCCAGACUCCAUAUUGCUAGAGGCAAAGGAGAGUGGCUACAGUGAUGACGAGAUCAUGGAGCUGUGGUCAACUCGAGUGUGGCAGAAGCACACAGCUUGCCAGCGCAGCAAAGGCAUGCUUGUGAUGGACUGUCAUCGCACUCACUUGUCAGAAGAGGUACUGGCUAUGCUUAGUGCCUCUAGCACUUUGCCUGCAGUGGUCCCAGCAGGCUGUAGCUCCAAAAUUCAGCCAUUAGAUGUAUGCAUCAAAAGAACUGUCAAGAACUUCCUGCAUAAAAAAUGGAAGGAACAGGCUCGGGAAAUGGCAGAUACUGCAUGUGAUUCUGAUGUCCUGCUUCAGCUGGUGCUUGUCUGGCUGGGUGAAGUGCUAGGUGUCAUUGGGGACUGUCCAGAGCUAGUUCAGCGCUCCUUCCUGGUGGCUAGUGUUCUGCCUGGCCCCGAUGGCAACAUUAACUCACCUACAAGAAAUGCUGACAUGCAGGAGGAGCUAAUUGCCUCCCUAGAGGAGCAACUGAAGCUGAGUGGGGAACAUUCUGAGUCUUCCACUCCACGACCCAGAUCAUCUCCUGAAGAGACAAUUGAGCCUGAAAGUCUUCACCAGCUCUUUGAGGGUGAAAGUGAGACCGAGUCUUUCUAUGGCUUUGAAGAAGCUGACCUAGAUCUGAUGGAGAUUUGAGUGUUGGGGUCAUGAGGGGGUGUGGAGUGGGGGUGGGAACAUGUGAGGGAGGGUAAAGGGGCUUAGGGAAAAGGGGGCAUACCAGGUGGGGUAUUUGGUUUCUAUUUUUUAAUUUUAUACCACCACUCCCCCCUGAAGUUGACUUACACUUCCCUGUGGAUUUGUGGAUUAAUUAGGAAAACCAAUAGUAAUCACGUCUGAGCCAAGGAGCUGGCCCAUUGGUCAUUCACUUCUGCUAAAAACAGGUUUUUGUGACUUUUUUUUUUUAAAAUUUAAAUCACUGUGUUUGGUAUUUUUCUGACAAAAUUAAGAAAAAGAAAAAAAUUAUUUGUGGGCGAAUGUUAAAUUUUUUUGUUUCCCCUUUUACCUCAAUUGUAUCAUAGUACUGGGUUUUUUUGUUUGUUUUAUUGUGUGGCCAAUGUCUUUGGGCAUGAUGCUAUCUAAUCAUUGUUAAUGUGAGAACAUUUCUGAAGAUGGGAAAGACAAAUUAUGUAGCUCACAAACUGGUUUAUUAUAUAUAUGGAUAAAAAACUUUUUUCAUUGUGGUCUUAACACUUUUAUAUAAAAAUGAAAAUGGAAAAAAAGUCCCACUGAACUCUCUCUUCUCCUUUUCUUUCCUUCCCUCUCCAGAGAUGUUGGUUUCUACAGCAACCCUAGAUAUAAAAUUGUGGCUUUAAAAAUGCAUGAAACCACCUUUAAUUAUCCAGAAUGAAUAGAUUUGUCUUUUCCUCACCACCUUCCCUCCAAAACAUGACAUAAACAAUAUUUUUUGCACUUGUGAUCCUUGGCCCCUUUCCCCAUUCUCAACACCAUCCAUCCCUCUGGACAAAGGAUCAUACAGGUGUUAUUAGCAAGCAAGAGAUACUGAAGCGAUCAAACAGUUUUAGGGUGGAAGCCAUUCCCAGUUUGAGUCUUCAUCCUGUAAGCCCCCAGGGGCAGUCCCUGCUUUACUGAACUUCAUCCUGUUAGAUGGAGAGCAUGCCUGUUUAAGGGAUUACUGGUCCUACAGCCAGGAGCUAAUUGUUCAAGAAGUGUUGAACUUUAAAAAGACAAGACCACUUGUUGAAAUCCAGCGUGCUCUGUGGCUUUCCCCUAUUUCUCUUAAUACUUAGGGAAGAAUCUGACAGGAAGAAGCGCACAGGGGUGUGCACAAAGAAAAUGACAUGAAUCUUUAUUUUUCACUGCCAGCUUCAAGGAAAGAAAAUUUUUUCUACAAUUUGCAUGAGGGAUUUUUUUAAUUGUAUGUACUCAUGGUUGUAAACCAAAACGUACUGUACCGUACAGAGAAAAGGAGCAAAAAACCAAGUCUUCUGUUUAUCCUGAGGCUUUCCACAAUGUUCCCCUCCUGUGAGCCAAGGAGGCAACCUGCACAAGCUUGUAAAUGGUUCGUCUUUAAAAUGUACAUAAGUGGAACAUUUAAUAAAAUGAGGGGAAAUGGAUUUAUAAACUUGUUUUUUUUCUAGGUGACCCUGUUUAAUAGGCUUUCACAGACUGGGGAAUGCUCAAGAUGUGAUGGGCCUGGUGGUACAGGUGUGACAUUUGUUACCACCCAUUUCUCCCACCCCACCCUGCUUUUUUGUUUGUUUGUUUUUUCAUCCCCCAGCACACUAUAAUAUAGUGAACUGGAAAAGUCCCUUCCAGAAACAGCUUGGCCAGCUUUGUGAACCUUUGACAUCUGAAAACAACCAAGGAUCCAUCUGGGCUUCUCUUCCCCAGCUUUUUGCCUGAUGCCAUUUUAUUGACAGACAAUGGACUUUGAAGUCAGCCUUUGCCUUUGAGAAAGUUCAAGAACUAUGGUUGGUCACGUCUAUCUACAACAACCUAAUCCUACUCUUUGGUAGUCUCUGCAGCAGCCACAGCCUUAGCAGAGCUGGGGUUCCUGUCUUCGGCACACGAUUGACUUUCUUGAUGGGUAAUUUUUUUUAAGAUCAUACCAACAGUGGAUCAGCUGGGUUUUGGCCAGGAAGUUGUCUUUGUGGACUCUGCCUGCAUGGCUUAGUAGUAGAAGGAAAUUUUUUUUUGUUUUGUUUUUUAUAAUUCAGUUUAAUCAAUAAACAUGUAUUUAUUGACUGUU